CGACCUGAGAUCAGACGAGAUUACCCGCUGAAUUUAAGCAUAUC
Molecule: ribosomal RNA, 44 nt
Filed under: Limnodrilus claparedianus
Lineage: Eukaryota; Metazoa; Annelida; Clitellata; Tubificida; Naididae
Also listed under: 1 other name
Description: partial 28S ribosomal RNA
Source: RNAcentral